GAGUUUGAUCCUGGCUCAGAUUGAACGCUGGCGGCAUGCCUUACACAUGCAAGUCGAACGGCAGCACGGGAGCUUGCUCCUGGUGGCGAGUGGCGAACGGGUGAGUAAUGCAUCGGAACGUAUCCUGGAGUGGGGGAUAACGCAGCGAAAGUUACGCUAAUACCGCAUAUUCUGUGAGCAGGAAAGCGGGGGACCUUCGGGCCUCGCGCUCUUGGAGCGGCCGAUGUCGGAUUAGCUAGUUGGUGAGGUAAAGGCUCACCAAGGCGACGAUCCGUAGCAGGUCUGAGAGGAUGAUCUGCCACACUGGAACUGAGACACGGUCCAGACUCCUACGGGAGGCAGCAGUGGGGAAUUUUGGACAAUGGGGGCAACCCUGAUCCAGCCAUGCCGCGUGAGUGAAGAAGGCCU
RNAcentral lists this ribosomal RNA (408 nucleotides) under bacterium enrichment culture clone ALO1_GLFRUDD03FKOWP. RNAcentral's name for it is "bacterial SSU rRNA". It matches the Rfam family "Bacterial small subunit ribosomal RNA", at positions 9 to 417 of the family's 1533-position model. The record is from RNAcentral.